GAAUCAGCAAUAACGCAUCUUUCCGAGAAACCCAAUUUAUGUUUGGCCGCCAGAUCACCAUCCAUUUGGGUGUAUCCCAGCGGGACCGGCGUGACGCAGGACAGACGCGGAGGGAUCUUCAGGAAAGUGAAUAAUCAGGUGUAUAAAAGCGAGCGGUCAGAAGAAAGAGAGACAGAGCUGAGGAAACUAUUCUACACCCGUACAGGUGGACAGAGAUCAUAUACAGCCGACCGGACCGCUGAAAACAUCCUGACUGUGAGAUCAGCAGAAGUCAUGUGUUCACUGAGCAGCUGUCAGACGCUCCUCCUGAUGGCCGUCUGCGGGGUGUUCUGCUGCCGGACUCUCGCGCUGCCGGCCAUCUCUGCGUAUCCUGACAUCAGACCAGGCGCUCUGGAUGAAGACAGAGAGGACGACUGGACGAGAGACGCGUCGCUGCAGGACCUCGAGGCGUAUAAACUCCUGUAUGAACUCGCAAACAACAUCGAGAGACCAUCCAGACACGCUGACGGGCUGUUCACGAGCGGAUAC
Long non-coding RNA from Ctenopharyngodon idella (grass carp), 528 nucleotides. RefSeq lists it as uncharacterized. The record is from RefSeq and is a predicted model, not a curated record. Lineage: Eukaryota; Metazoa; Chordata; Actinopteri; Cypriniformes; Xenocyprididae. The transcript is spliced from 4 exons.